This is a long non-coding RNA of Fundulus heteroclitus (mummichog), 117 nucleotides long. RefSeq lists it as uncharacterized. NCBI's taxonomy places the organism in Eukaryota, Metazoa, Chordata, Actinopteri, Cyprinodontiformes, Fundulidae. The transcript is spliced from 2 exons. The record is from RefSeq and is a predicted model, not a curated record.
UCUUCCCCGAACAAUCCAGCCCGCAAUCAGGAGAUUGCCGGCCGACAAGCCGCAAGCAGCGCGUCCCGAGAGCCCCACUUCCCCUCUCCUUUUAAAUAAACAAACCUCGUAACGCCA